This 746-nucleotide long non-coding RNA is filed under the name Mustela putorius furo (domestic ferret). RNAcentral describes it as "lncRNA (ENSMPUG00000027996.1)". Lineage: Eukaryota; Metazoa; Chordata; Mammalia; Carnivora; Mustelidae. The record is from RNAcentral.
AUGGGAGAGGGCGCUCUGAGCGGUCUCGGGUCUCCGCCCAGCCGGAGCACCAGGUGGGAUAACCAGUGGGACUGCCGAGUCAGCAGCGCCCGCCCUCUCUGGAUGGGACAGGCGGAGGAAGUGUGCGGUUGGGAAGCUCCGCCGCUCUCGCCCGGGUUUCCAGCUCUCCCGCCCGCAGAAACUACAGAGAAAGUUAGCAUGGGAAUCUGCGCCCUUCUGAAACUCGGCGGGACCCCAGGAACUUCCCAACACCGCGGGGACGAGGGGCCGCGCGCGGUAACGGAAAUGUCAGCGGCGGGAGUGCCCUGCUGGGUCCCAGGCUUCUGGUCCGGCACCACCUCGCUGGAGCGCCCUCUGUCGGCGGCUCUGGGUACGGCCCGCGUCUGGGCGCUCGUUCUCGGUGGCUGUGCCAGUAUGAAUGAAAAGGGCUGUGUGUGUGCAUGAAGCCACAGUAGGUGAUAAUGGUAUGUUUCUAAAAUCCAGAUGUUAAAGGAAUAAUGUAGUGGAGGGGGAUGUCAACUAUACUAAAUCAUUUGCCUUUCGUCUCAUGUUCUUUGACUUUAGGAGAACCGUAGGUUUGCUUUUGGACCCUCUGGAGGACAAUUGCCUGAUCUUGACCUGAACCUGGCCUCCUGUGUGAUCUUUCCUUGACCUUCCUUCUCCAGUCUGUGGAGCCCAGGGUGACUGCCUGCUUCAGGCUCUAAGUAUAUUGACCAUGAUGUCAGUCCAAAGAAGUGAGCAUCCCA